CAAAUAGAGAGUGGGGUUGCUGAGACAAUAGUCAGCCAAUGAGUGAAUAGGGUUGCUGGUUGGAACUUAACAAUUAAUACUAGUCCUUUAAAUUUCUGUAGCACCUUGUAAACAUUGCUUGAUCAGGAUUUAAUGUUUUGGGAGUUCUUAUUUUUUUCUAUUUUGUAGGAAUGAAAUGUGACACGAGUUCUGAGCUGGCUUAUUUUCAUUUCUUCCUUUUGGAAAAUGAUCAUAGGAAUAAAGUUUCUCAAAUAUUCUAAAUAAUUUGACUGCACCAAUUACCUUCGGUUUAGUGGACUUUUUUUUUUUUUUUAAAGCUACCAUAUUACAAAAUGCCCAUAUGGUAUAAAGUUAGGUGUAAAAAUCUACAUCAAGAAUGUGUUUACUUUACUGCAGGAGCUCUAUAAAAUAAAAUUAGAACUCCUUCUGAGACACAAAGUUAUAAAUAAAUACAUGAUCAGCUUGUAAUGAGGUGGGAAUAUUCUGACGGGGUGCUGCUGGUUACAGUGAUUAGUUCUCAUUAGAUUUGGAGAUAUACACUUAUUUGUAGAACUUAGUCGUUUUUGUCAUGUUUCCUUCCUGCAUGGCUCAUUUGGACUUAAUUCUAGCCCCACGUAUUGGCAAAGCUCUACUUAAAGCUAGAUGGAAUUCACUAGAAUAUUACCCCAUUCACCCUGACCCCAAUGUCCCACCUUUUGCCUUCAGUAACAAAUGUGUGGUGUGAGUGGAAAGUCCAUUGUGUGUGCUGCUGCUCAUGAGGACGUGCUCUGUGCAGUUGGGACAACUGAAUAACUGGAGUCAUCAUCAUCAUCAGUGGAGCCCCUACUUAUGAGCAGAAGCUUGUCUCUAGGGGCUCUCUGUUAACACAACCAGACACAGCACAUGGUUAUUGCAUUAAAUUAAACCAGCCUUGUUGGAAUGCUAUAGCAGUAUUGUGCAACAAUAUGGUGACACAAAUGUUUAGAUCUGAGCUACAAAUGUCAACAGUCUUCCAAUUGUUAGAUUUUAAAAAAACCAGAUUGUCGGAUAUCUUGCCACUGUUGUACUAUUAUAACUUUUGACACACACUGCACUAUCUUUUAUUCCUUUUAAUCAGUGGCGUAGCGUGGGGGGUGCAGGGGGGGCCGGCCGCACCGGCCGCAACAUCUGGGGGUUAGGGUUAGGGGGCGCAAAUCCACGGGUUAGGGGGCGCAAAUUACUUGCCUUGCCCCGGGUGCUGACAACCCACGCUACGCCACUGCUUUUAAUAAAACUGUUUUCUGGAAUUGCUUUCUAGGAAAUGAAUGCUGCAUUUCUUACCUUAUUGUGGCUUCCCCCGCCCCCCUUGCUAGACAAAAAAGGGUUGACCCUAGUAGGUUACCAUGCUGUGUUUGUUUAGUGUUUGCAUUUAUAUGCUGCCUGUCUUCCUUUCAUGAUCUUAGGACAGGUUACAAAAUAGUAAAACACCGUAAGAAAAUUAAGCUAAUAAGAACACAGAGAACACAGCAGAUUCAAAACAGUUUACAAGCAACAUCAGAUCAGCUCCCAGCAAAAGUCUAAGUGAACAAAAAAAUGUUUAGUUGGUUUCAGAGGCCAAACAUCAGUGACACAAAUUGUAUCUCAUAAAGGAAACUGUUCCACAGCCAAGGACACCACCACCAGGAAGUCUCUUAUCACCACACAUUUAUUUAUUUAUUUGAAAGCCUUUUAUAUACUGCUUACUAUUUCAGUGAGUUUCACCUGUUGACAGGACUGCACAGAGAUCCUCCCCUACAGAUUUUAAUACAUGGACUGGUUGCUAUUGGGAAAGGCACGCCUUCAAGUAUCUGGAUUCCAAGCCAUUUAAGACUUUAUAACGCAUUGAGUUGGCUUGGUAACAUAUGGAACUGUGGAUGUAUUUUGUUUCAAAAAUUUCAAGUGCUUAGGGUAGGAUGGGUUAAUAAAUGGACUAAAACUUAGCUUUUCCCAUUCAAAAGGGGCCAUAUUUGUAGGCCUUGAAGUCUCACUGUCUAGCAGGUGUUGUUGUAUUGUGCCAUUGGGUGGAGAGGGGGGAGAUUCGGCAUGAGAUUAUGGAACCACAGAAGAGUGAUGCGAAGAAAAAAUAGGAGACACAAAUCUGUCCAAUUAUUAUGUCACCUUUGACAUACAAUUUCUGUUUUAUUGAGAAUUCUUGUAGUCAAGUCCUGACAUCACAAAGAAAUUAUGAAUACUGUGGGUUUCUGUUGAUGAUGUAUAGAACAUAUAGAUCAAACAAAAAUGCUAGGUAAACCCUCUGUAAAAUCCUUUGUGUUUAAGUGUUGCUUUAUCUUACCAUCUGUUUACCUAAAUGAUGUAUUAAUUCUGAUUGACCUGUAGCCUUUGGAAAAUGCACACUUCAUAUUUAUUCUGGUGGUAUUCAUAAUUUUUAAUGAUGGGUCAGCUAAUUUAUUCAGUGUGGAUUUCCCCUCCAUCUCCAAUCCCCAUUGUUCAUACUCUUUGUAGAUCUGUAAAUUUUACACAGUAUAGAUUGUGUAAACAUAAUUGCUGCAAUCUCAGCAUCCAAUAUUCACAAGGAGCUUGCUGAAAGGUAGGCUUCCAAUUCACCAUUAAGAAGGGGUUCACCAUGCAGCAGGAUUGUGCAUACAGAUGUUGAUGGAUAUCGUUAUAAAGGAGCUGACUUGAUACAUGAAUAUCGGCAAUCUCCUUUUAUAGUUUCUAUUUGGCUUUGUCUGAGUCAGCCAGGGACUAUAUCAUUCCUUUUGCCUGUAUCUGUAAUAAAAUUGUUUUUUGCUUAUAUGAAAUGCCUUAAUUUUGAAGUUAAUGUUUUAGAUAUAAAUUACAGUAUUGUGAACCACCUUGGGGACCCGUCCCAGUCAAAAUAAAUAAAUGACACUGAUUUUUGUUAACUUGAAACUAACUCAUCACUAGACAAGAAAGCAGCUGUCAUGUUCCUAGAUGUCAGGAAAUGUGGAAUGGUGCUGCUGUGAGUGACAAGCAUGAAGUAUAAAAUACUCUCUGGACCACAACAGAUUAGAAUGGAAAGGACGGGAUGUGACUAUGUGGGCGCUUCUUGAUUUCACUGCUCUUUGCACACUCUUUGCAACAUGAUGCUUGAUGGAGUGUGGUUCAUGGGCAAAGUACCUAGGGGGUUCAGAAUCGGGCCCUCUGGCUUUGGCUGCAUAGGGGUACAGUGUUGGGAUUAAGGUUGUCUCUGUAUCUUCCUAAAGCUUGAGAGCCAGGUGCAACUUUUCCCCAAUGCUACAUUUCGGUGCUAGAAGAGAUGCCCUUGUUGAAUCUCUUGUGCUUUGCUUUGUACCUACAAGAACCCUAUACAACAGAUCAGUGCCCCUGUAUUCAAAAUUCAAGGCUAAAGCUGACUGACAGUCCAUUUCUGAACCUUUCAAUUUGAUCGGGCCUUUUUGUAUCUGAUGCUAAUAUCUUUUCAAAUAUUUUAAUGUAGAGAUGGGCCUGAGGACUCCAAUAAAUCUCCCUGGGGCUUUAUAUCUGGCCUUCAGGACUCUCCCCAGGCCAUAGCCUCUCUCCUCAGGCUGCAUCCUUCACCAGCCCUGCAUUACAUGCCUGGCUGGAAUGUGGACAUGAACUCUGUUGAUGCUUUUUCCUUGCUCAUAUGCAGAGGGGGGUUCAUCUAGAAGGUACAUAUCACAUUUGUUGCUCUGGGCCUACCCACUACUGACAUGUGGCUGUUUGAAGCUUGCCCCAAAGCUAAUGCAGCCCUCAGGCUGAGAAAGGUUCCCCAUCUUGUUUUAAGGCUUUUGUAUUUCAGGUAGGGUAGACCCUUGUAUUUGAGAAAGACCCAUCUGAGAGCCACUGCCAGUCGGGGUCAACAAUGCAGAGAUAUGUUCCUAUCUGCUGAUAAUUUUUUUAUUGUGUUAUUAUUAUUCUAUUGGCCUUUCUUAAGCUAUCCUGCAUUUAUUUUUAUUUGUUUACUUACUCAAAAGGUACUACAUGAAUCUCUAAGAUAAAGAAAUGAAACAGUGCUUUUCUUACCGUCACCAAAUCAAUCCAAAGCUGCUUUGUAGCUCUGGAUACAGCCUACUUUAAAUACAUGUGUUCUCAUAUGACCAAGUCUUCAGACAGGCUCAAAUAUCCAUGCAGUGCAGUCCUAUCCAUGUCUACUCAGAGGUUCAUUGGGACUUACUCCUCGGUUAUUGUGUGGGCUAUUGUGUGCAUAGGAUUGCAGCCUCAAUAUGUAUUCCCUCAUUUAGUAAAUUCUGGAAGAAAUGUGCAAUAAGAUAAUAGCGUGCAAAAUUGUUAAAUGGGGAGCUGUGUCUAGUUCACCUUAAAACACUUCCUGCUGCCUUGCAACACGGUUGCAUUGUUUAUGUGGGGGAGACGAGGCAGAAUAAACAAACAAGUACAAAGACUUUCUGCUAGCGACCCGACUGCAUAUCACUUAGCAACAUCAAUAUUUUUGUGCACAAAUAAAUGUCUCAAGCUUUAGUGUAGGUUUGGGUUGUGUGUGUGUGUGUGUGUGUGUGUGUGUGUGUGAUGCUGACCUUGUAUGCAGAGAGAUCAGUUUGUUCAGUUGAUUAUUGGUCAGUCCUUAAUUUGGAUGUCUAGACAUUUCAGUCAGCGAGAAUGAAAGGCAGACAUCUAAAGACGUGAGGAGAGGUUUCAAGGCACUCUGGAACAGUAAAAAGAAAAAAACCCACCCAAGGUCCCCACUAUUUCAGUUUUAAAACACACAUUAUUAUUAUUACUGUCCAGAAUACUUACUGCCUUAUUUUUGUUGCUUAAGACAUACAUGAUUAAGAUUCAGUUAGGACUGCCAUCUAAUAAAAAUACAGUAAAUCCAAUGAAGUUUUGUUUUCUGUCAACAGAACAGAAAUUCUAAAUGAUUAAAAUUAUUAACGCUAUAAGCAGCAGUAAAUAUUAUAAAGAGUGGCAUUUUACUAUACAUGCAGCUGACUUUACAUUGUCUGUUAGUGUGAAUAGGACAGAGAGAAGGAAUUCUGCUCUGUUCUUUUUUAAAAUUGUAUAUCCAUUUGCCACCCUGGGUUCCUUGGGGAGAUAGGGCAGGAUAUAAAUUCAAUCAAUCAAUCAAUCAAUCAAUCAAUCAUUAACUAUUUUUAAAACAAAUUAUCUUGGAAAGGAGAAACAUUAUUAUGCAGAUUAUAUUAAAACUGCAGCUAUGAAUGCCUAAAUUUAUUAUAUUUCGAGAGCUAUAAUUUUACAACUCCCCCCCCCACUUUGUAUUCCCCCCCCCUCAAGGUUGACUGGAAUAAAUGAAAUAAAUGAAACCUGAGCUGUGAUGGACUCUGGUAUAUGCCCCAAUGAAUCCAGUUGACACUUGGCUUGGAAGCAGUUGGGGCAUUGUCGAGGGCUGGCUCAAGGAUGAAGGACCCCAAAUAUUUUUCUAAGUGUCACAAGUUUUCCCAAGUGGGAUAUUAAUUUGGAUAAAUAAAUUAAUUUGACUGUCUAGAGAUUAUUUGGGUAUAAUGAGUUAGGAGGACUGAAGGGGAAUUGAAUUGAUUUGGAGGAAGAUCUGUUGGGCAAUUUAUUGAGGCAAAUGAAGUGAAGAGGAACUGAUUUGGAAUGGAGUACAAAUUGAUUGAAGAGUUUAUCUGAGGUCAUCUGGGUGGGAAAUCAGUUGCCUUGCUUUUUGUGACAUUUACAUUCUAAAUUUGCAUUCAUACAUCUAUACCAGCAUAUGCAAAUUUCUGUCUAUGGGCCCUUGCCUCCCCUCCCUGAAGUUCCUAGCAACAUCUCUGGGAGAAUCCUUGACUAUAAGGUUAUAUGUCAUUUGCAUGGAGAAUUUCAGCAAAGGUUUUAUUGCUGCCUGAAGUGGAAUCUAGCAUCUCUCAACUUAAUUUCCUUGUAUUGAAUUAACAGUUUGAUCCUAAGACUUGCUGCACCAGCAAAGAAAUACCUAGGAUGGAGGGCAUACUUUCAGCUAUACCAGGGCACAGUUAUAAAACAUGACAUGUUAUAAAAUAUGACAGACUUGCAGGGAUGCUAUGCCAGUGUUUCAGGCAGAUAUGCCAGUGCAAAUAUUUAGGAUUGAGUGGCAAAUGUCACAUGACGAUCCAGCACAGGAAUCACAAGCUUGAAAGCAUGAAAGGGUAAGGACUGUAAACCCAGAAUAAAUAUAUAUAUUUGUAGUAGCAAUAUUUGCUUUCUUCAAAGUGUUUCUAUUACCUGUCAUCACUUAGAGUGGCAAAUUUAUAUUGUUAACCUCUUAGUGAUAUUGAAUAUAUAUUCUGGAAUGUUCAAGCUUUAGGGAAUGUUUUAAAUAUCUUCCAGUGACAUCUGAGUAAAAACUAGAUAACAGGAAAGUGAUUCAGACUGUUCUGCAAUCUUUAGAAGGACAUAUUGACCCCAGUCCGGAUCCAGUGGUUCCAUCAGGGUAUGAAUUUAGGGCAGAAGUCCAGGGCCCCACGCAACAGAAAAAGCUGUAAGAACCAACCCCU
RNAcentral lists this long non-coding RNA (6389 nucleotides) under Podarcis lilfordi (Lilford's wall lizard). Lineage: Eukaryota; Metazoa; Chordata; Lepidosauria; Squamata; Lacertidae. The record is from RNAcentral.